Molecule: ribosomal RNA, 253 nt
Filed under: uncultured bacterium
Lineage: Bacteria
Description: partial 16S ribosomal RNA
Rfam family: Bacterial small subunit ribosomal RNA
Source: RNAcentral
UACGUAGGGCGCAAGCGUUAUCCGGAAUUAUUGGGCGUAAAGAGCUCGUAGGCGGUUUGUCGCGUCUGCCGUGAAAGUCCGGGGCUCAACUCCGGAUCUGCGGUGGGUACGGGCAGACUAGAGUGAUGUAGGGGAGACUGGAAUUCCUGGUGUAGCGGUGAAAUGCGCAGAUAUCGGGAGGAACACCGGUGGCGAAGGCGGGUCUCUGGGCCGAUACUGACGCUGAGGAGCGAAAGCAUGGGUAGCGAACAGG